UAUAACUAGUUUUUACCAUGGAUAAUUUCAUGAAUUCUGAACACUAGAGCCUAGUCUAAAAAUCAUAGGAUAUUGUGAAAAAGACGCAUAUUCUAUUUAUCUAUAAUCAUUAGAAAGUUAAAGGGCAUUUUCUUUCAUUAGCAGUGUUAACAGUAGUUUUUUCUUCCCCAUCGGUAAUGCUAAAAGUUGCUAUUGUAAGUCUAUCCACCACUAAUUUAAGACAACUCUGCUGGGUUGCGUUAUUUCAUACUAGUUUAUUUAGGAGUUCCAUUUUCACUCCUCAAUAGAUUUUAUGUAUUUCUCAUAAGCUUCUUCACUCAUAAGUUCAUCUAGUUCUGAAGGGUUACUCAGUGUCAUCUUGAUCUGCCAACCAUCUUCAUAACAAGAUUUGUUUACAAGUCCUGGAUUUUCUGCAAGAGCUUCAUUAAUUUCAGUUACUUCUCCUGAUAAAGGAGAACAGAGUUCACUAGCAGCUUUCACACUUUCCAAAGCACCAAACUCAUCUUGUUUGUUCAAUUUUGUCCCAACUUCAGGCAGACUAUAGUAAACAACAUCUCCCAAAGCUUCCUGUGCCA
This 575-nucleotide long non-coding RNA is filed under the name Homo sapiens (human). RNAcentral describes it as "HSALNT0095504". Lineage: Eukaryota; Metazoa; Chordata; Mammalia; Primates; Hominidae. The record is from RNAcentral.